AGUCAUAUGCUUGUCUCAAAGAUUAAGCCAUGCAUGUCUAAGUAUAAGCAAUUAUACAGCGAAACUGCGAAUGGCUCAUUAUAUAAGUUAUCGUUUAUUUGAUAGUACCUUACUACUUGGAUAACCGUGGUAAUUCUAGAGCUAAUACAUGCUGAAAAUCCCGACUUCGGAAGGGAUGUAUUUAUUAGAUUCAAAACCAAUGCCCUCUGGGCUCACUGGUGAUUCAUGAUAACUCCUCGAAUCGCACGGCCUUGCGCCGGCGAUGGUUCAUUCAAAUUUCUUCCCUAUCAACUUUCGAUGUUUGGGUAGUGGCCAAACAUGGUUGCAACGGGUAACGGAGGGUUAGGGCUCGACCCCGGAGAAGGAGCCUGAGAAACGGCUACUACAUCCAAGGAAGGCAGCAGGCGCGCAAAUUACCCAAUCCCGACACGGGGAGGUAGUGACAAUAAAUACUGAUACAGGGCUCUUUUGGGUCUUGUAAUUGGAAUGAGUACAAUUUAAAUCCCUUAACGAGGAACAAUUGGAGGGCAAGUCUGGUGCCAGCAGCCGCGGUAAUUCCAGCUCCAAUAGCGUAUAUUAAAGUUGUUGUGGUUAAAAAGCUCGUAGUUGAACCUUGGGCCUGGCUGGCCGGUCCGCCUCACCGCGUGUACUGGUCCGGCCGGGCCUUUCCCUCUGUGGAACCCCAUGCCCUUCACUGGGCGUGGCGGGGAAACAGGACUUUUACUUUGAAAAAAUUAGAGUGCUCCAGGCAGGCCUAUGCUCGAAUACAUUAGCAUGGAAUAAUGAAAUAGGACGCGCGGUUCUAUUUUGUUGGUUUCUAGGACCGCCGUAAUGAUUAAUAGGGACAGUCGGGGGCAUCAGUAUUCAAUAGUCAGAGGUGAAAUUCUUGGAUCUAUUGAAGACUAACUACUGCGAAAGCAUUUGUCAAGGAUGUUUUCAUUAAUCAGGAACGAAAGUUAGGGGAUCGAAGACGAUCAGAUACCGUCGUAGUCUUAACCAUAAACUAUGCCGACUAGGGAUCGGACGAUGUUAUUUUUUGACUCGUUCGGCACCUUACGAGAAAUCAAAGUGCUUGGGCUCCAGGGGGAGUAUGGUCGCAAGGCUGAAACUUAAAGAAAUUGACGGAAGGGCACCACCAGGGGUAAACCGCAGUCGCUCUGCCCCCGAAAGCAGCCGGGAAACCGGUCACUGGGUCCUUGGCCGGGAGGCCGAAGAAUGCUAGUCGCCCCCCGGGGCGGCGACACCCUCCAAUUGCGGGAACUCCCUAAAGCCGACUGGGACCAAGCGGGCGCCGAAAGGGCGUCCCGUGGCCGGGUUAACGACCCCGGGUACGGUAACACGCCGGUCGGAUGAGCUUUACAAUGGGUGAUCCGCAGCCAAGCGCCUACCCGGCGAGCGCAGCAGCGCCGCCGCAGGGCGAAGGUUCAGAGACUUGACGGGGGUGGGUCCGGGGCGCCUCUGGGCGCCGCCGGGCCUAAGAUGAAGUCCGUCUGCGCGCGAAAGCGCGACAGAGCCCCUCCGAAAACGGGAGCCUGCGGCUUAAUUUGACUCAACACGGGGAAACUCACCAGGUCCAGACACAAUGAGGAUUGACAGAUUGAGAGCUCUUUCUUGAUUUUGUGGGUGGUGGUGCAUGGCCGUUCUUAGUUGGUGGAGUGAUUUGUCUGCUUAAUUGCGAUAACGAACGAGACCUUAACCUGCUAAAUAGCCCGUAUUGCUUUGGCAGUACGCUGGCUUCUUAGAGGGACUAUCGGCUCAAGCCGAUGGAAGUUUGAGGCAAUAACAGGUUGACCUUCACAGGCCUGUCAUAGUGGGCCUCGUUAAAGAUAACUGCUAGUCCAGCGACUUAGCCUCCGCGGGGAAGCCCCCAAUGUCGGGCGGAGGAGGACCCCCCUCACGGGGCGGGGUGCCUUGUCGCGGGCGACACCACCUGGUACAGGGAACGCCGCGAGCCCAGCGAUGGGGGAGCGGCCGAUCCUGUGGCGAGCCCGGGCAGCGCCGGGCCGUCGCAACGCGCGCAAAGGGGUGGGCCGGGCCGCUGGACGCGGCCGGCUUAAGGUACGUGCUAAUCCCGUGGGAAACCACGCUCCCGUGACUAGGCCCGACACGCCGAAGCACGGGGGGGCCGCCCGCGGGCGGCCGGCGGAGGCGGCGCCCGCGGCGGCCGCCUCGAAUGCUGUGAUGCCCUUAGAUGUUCUGGGCCGCACGCGCGCUACACUGACGGAGCCAGCGAGUACUCCCUUGGCCGGAAGGCCCGGGUAAUCUUGUUAAACUUCGUCGUGCUGGGGAUAGAGCAUUGCAAUUAUUGCUCUUCAACGAGGAAUCCCUAGUAAGCGCAAGUCAUCAGCUUGCGUUGACUACGUCCCUGCCCUUUGUACACACCGCCCGUCGCUACUACCGAUUGAAUGGCUCAGUGAGGCGUCCGGACUGGCCCAGAGAGGUGGGCAACUACCCCUCAGGGCCGGAAAGCUCUCCAAACUCGGUCAUUUAGAGGAAGUAAAAGUCGUAACAAGGUCUCCGUU
This 2522-nucleotide ribosomal RNA is filed under the name Ophiocordyceps macroacicularis. RNAcentral's name for it is "SSU rRNA". It matches the Rfam family "Eukaryotic small subunit ribosomal RNA". The record is from RNAcentral. Lineage: Eukaryota; Fungi; Ascomycota; Sordariomycetes; Hypocreales; Ophiocordycipitaceae.